AUCUUUAUAUGUUGCAGUAUUAUUUUUUAGUGUCAGUGUGUGGUGUGUGAGUAUCUAACGUGGACUGCAGAUUUCCUGAUAUAUAAAACUAUAGAUGAUUAGCAAGAGAGAGACACGUAUAUAGAUACAAGAUCGGAAGCAAGAUACAUGUAUUAAAUAUUAAUUAUUGCCAUAAGUAUCUAAAAGAAACUAGUUGAUCUCUAACUCAGACUCAGUGAUCACUAGGGAGUAAUUCGUGCUCCAUCUUACAAUGCCUCCAACUCAGCUCUCUCAAGCAUGAAUCGCUCUCGAACAUAUGAAAUGUAGGUUGCAGCUUUCAUGUCUACAUUUUCGUCGCCACCAAUGUCUGGAAAACCUCUCAACUUAGUAAUGGAAACCUUGUGGAUUGAUGGAGGAUAUGCGUAGUAGCUCUGGCGAGUGGGGGAAUCUACUUCAGAACCAUUUGGGGUACAUGGGCUCGGACUGACCCUGCUACUAGAUUGCACUUGCUUAGAAGCUGGUUUGGUGACUCGAAACAAGGACUUGACCAUCUUAUUACCUCUCACAAACCCUUGACUUGAUCCUCUGUGUUUUGCCUCCAUUUGUUGCUGAGCUAGAGAAAGCUAGGAGGAGUUAAGUGUGACUGGAUAUGGUGGUUAAGAUUACAAGUUUUUUUUGCCUGUCCAUUCCAAGGAGGCAUUCGUGCUUAUAUAUAAAUAUAAAUGGCACUGCUUUGGGCGUCCGAUUCUAGUCAUGUAAAUUGCAAAUAUACCC
Molecule: long non-coding RNA, 753 nt
Filed under: Populus trichocarpa (black cottonwood)
Lineage: Eukaryota; Viridiplantae; Streptophyta; Magnoliopsida; Malpighiales; Salicaceae
Description: long non-coding RNA (PTRI_LNC000055)
Source: RNAcentral